UGGCGUUUUACAAUCUCUCUGAUCACUGU
Molecule: small RNA, 29 nt
Filed under: Bombyx mori (domestic silkworm)
Lineage: Eukaryota; Metazoa; Arthropoda; Insecta; Lepidoptera; Bombycidae
Description: ovarian small RNA-34916
Source: RNAcentral